Molecule: ribosomal RNA, 506 nt
Filed under: uncultured bacterium
Lineage: Bacteria
Description: partial 16S ribosomal RNA
Rfam family: Bacterial small subunit ribosomal RNA
Source: RNAcentral
GAUGAACGCUAGCUCCAGGCUUAACACAUGCAAGUCGAGGGGUAACGAGAGGAAAGCUUGCUUUCCUUGUCGACGACCGGCGCACGGGUGAGUAACGCGUAUCCAACCUGCCCCCAACUAGGGAAUAACCUUGCGAAAGUAAGACUAAUACCCUAUAAUUUCCUCAGAUGUCAUCUGUCGAGGAAUAAAGAUUUAUCGGUUGUGGAUGGGGAUGCGUCUGAUUAGCUUGUUGGCGGGGUAAAGGCCCACCAAGGCAACGAUCAGUAGGGGUUCUGAGAGGAAGGUCCCCCACAUUGGAACUGAGACACGGUCCAAACUCCUACGGGAGGCAGCAGUGAGGAAUAUUGGUCAAUGGGCGGAAGCCUGAACCAGCCAAGUAGCGUGCAGGAUGACGGCCCUAUGGGUUGUAAACUGCUUUUAUACAGGAAUAAAGUUAGCCACGUGUGGUUAUUUGUAGGUACUGUAUGAAUAAGGACCGGCUAAUUCCGUGCCAGCCGCCGCAGUAA